Molecule: long non-coding RNA, 226 nt
Filed under: Mytilus galloprovincialis (Mediterranean mussel)
Lineage: Eukaryota; Metazoa; Mollusca; Bivalvia; Mytilida; Mytilidae
Source: RNAcentral
UCAAUUGUUAACAAUUUUCAUAAUUUUUUGUUAAUUUUUGUAAAUUUUUAGGAAAUAUUUUCCACUGUAAUUACUGGGCCAAGUUCAUUAUAGAUAGAGAUAAUUGUAGCAACAAGAAUGUUCAGUAAAGAAAGAUCUACAAACACAUCACCAUCACCAAAACACCAUUUUGUCAUGAAUUUAUCUGUGUCCAUUGUUAAUAUGCACAUAGACCAAGGUGAGCGAC